AGCAGCGGUUGAUUUGGGCCGAGACCAACCCACCACCACCCGCGGAGUAGGCGACGGCGGCGAAGCCCACGGCGGAAGCUUCUGGAAGGUUAGUAUGUCCACAGGGACAUUGACAAUGGAUAGAGGAGGGGCAGCAAAACGAGAGGCGUCAUGCGGAACAAUCUAGAAGUGGCGUCUGACACUUGCUGCUUCCAAGGAAUUGGUAUGAGAGGAUCCACAUGGUUCUGACAUUGUAUAGAUAUUUUACAUGGCACACCAUCACUCCUACCAAAGGGAACUAAGCAAGUCGUGAGGACACGAUUUUUUUUGCCAUUUGGCAGCACCUGUGGGUUUAAUUGCUUCAUGGCUUCAUGUUAGGUGACAAGAUUAGAGAAGAUGUUGGCAUUCUACGAGAGGAGAUUAAAGAAUGAAGCUGUGUGAUUAGCAUAUAAUCUAAUGCCAUGGCCGGGUGCAGAAUGUUUUAUUUUAUCAAUCAGAUGUGCCAAGAUCAGGUAGUGCAUUAUUUACCUGAUGAAAUAUUUCGAGUUUAUUUCGCUACGUUUGACUCAGGUUGUUCAAGUUUCAAGAUAUAUACUAUCUUUGCUUGGUUAAAAUUAUUGAUAUAUUUUUCUGU
Molecule: small RNA, 613 nt
Filed under: Oryza sativa Japonica Group (Japanese rice)
Lineage: Eukaryota; Viridiplantae; Streptophyta; Magnoliopsida; Poales; Poaceae
Description: sRNA Os07g0203950
Source: RNAcentral